GAUGAACGCUGGCGGCGUGCCUAAUACAUGCAAGUCGAGCGAACAGACGAGGAGCUUGCUCCUUCGACGUUAGCGGCGGACGGGUGAGUAACACGUAGGUAACCUACCUAUAAGACUGGGAUAACUUCGGGAAACCGGAGCUAAUACCGGAUAAUAUUUCGAACCGCAUGGUUCGAUAGUGAAAGAUGGCUUUGCUAUCACUUAUAGAUGGACCUGCGCCGUAUUAGCUAGUUGGUAAGGUAACGGCUUACCAAGGCAACGAUACGUAGCCGACCUGAGAGGGUGAUCGGCCACACUGGAACUGAGACACGGUCCAGACUCCUACGGGAGGCAGCAGUAGGGAAUCUUCCGCAAUGGGCGAAAGCCUGACGGAGCAACGCCGCGUGAGUGAUGAAGGUCUUCGGAUCGUAAAACUCUGUUUUUAGGGAAGAACAAACGUGUAAGUAACUGUGCACGUCUUGACGGUACCUAAUCAGAAAGCCACGGCUAACUACGUG
This 497-nucleotide ribosomal RNA is filed under the name uncultured bacterium. Its description in RNAcentral is "partial 16S ribosomal RNA". It matches the Rfam family "Bacterial small subunit ribosomal RNA", at positions 28 to 507 of the family's 1533-position model. The record is from RNAcentral.